UACGGAGGGCGCGAGCGUUAAUCGGAAUUACUGGGCGUAAAGCGCGCGUAGGCUGUUGUGUAAGUUGGGGGUGAAAUCCCACGGCUCAACCGUGGAACAGCCCUUGAUACUGCGCGACUUGAAUCCGGGAGAGGGUGGCGGAAUUCCAGGUGUAGGAGUGAAAUCCGUAGAUAUCUGGAGGAACUUCAGUGGCGAAGGCGGCCACCUGGACCGGUAUUGACGCUGAGGCGCGAAAGCGUGGGGAGCAAACAGG
Molecule: ribosomal RNA, 253 nt
Filed under: uncultured bacterium
Lineage: Bacteria
Description: partial 16S ribosomal RNA
Rfam family: Bacterial small subunit ribosomal RNA
Source: RNAcentral